Molecule: non-coding RNA, 202 nt
Organism: Pelobates cultripes (western spadefoot toad)
Lineage: Eukaryota; Metazoa; Chordata; Amphibia; Anura; Pelobatidae
Source: the annotation of a GenBank genome assembly
GGGUCUUCAAUGACUGGGAGGGGAUGGAGCUUGGCCCUGCGCCUGUCCCCUCUCUUCCCUACCUUCUGGCAGACAUCACAAGACUGAUAAUAUUGUCUCAGAUCUUUUGAGAUGCCUGGCCAGAAGAAGCUUUGGGUGAGCCGAUGUUUAGUACAACUUACCCCCAGAUGCCCAGCUAGGGAAAUGUUGCGGGCUAUUUUUU